GACGAACGCUGGCGGCGUGCUUAACACAUGCAAGUCGAGCGGUAAGGCCCUUUCGGGGGUACACGAGCGGCGAACGGGUGAGUAACACGUGGGUGACCUGCCCUCAGCUCUGGGAUAAGCCUGGGAAACCGGGUCUAAUACUGGAUAUGACUCCAUGACGCAUGUUGUGGGGUGGAAAGCCUUGUGCGGCUGAGGAUGGGCCCGCGGCCUAUCAGCUUGUUGGNGGGGUGAGGGCCUACCAAGGCGACGACGGGUAGCCGGCCUGAGAGGGCGACCGGCCACACUGGGACUGAGACACGGCCCAGACUCCUACGGGAGGCAGCAGUGGGGAAUCUUGCGCAAUGGGCGAAAGCCUGACGCAGCGACGCCGCGUGAGGGAUGACGG
This 385-nucleotide ribosomal RNA is filed under the name uncultured bacterium. Its description in RNAcentral is "bacterial SSU rRNA". It matches the Rfam family "Bacterial small subunit ribosomal RNA", at positions 28 to 414 of the family's 1533-position model. The record is from RNAcentral.